UUACCUAGAGUUCGGUGCUCCCCCA
Molecule: non-coding RNA, 25 nt
Filed under: Rattus norvegicus (Norway rat)
Lineage: Eukaryota; Metazoa; Chordata; Mammalia; Rodentia; Muridae
Source: RNAcentral